AACGAACGCUGGCGGCGUGCUUAACACAUGCAAGUCGAACGGUAAGGCCCUUCGGGGUACACGGGUGGCGAACGGGUGAGUAACACGUGGGUGAUCUGCCCUGCACUUCGGGAUAAGCCUGGGAAACUGGGUCUAAUACCGGAUAGGACCACUGCCUACAUGGGUGGUGGUGGAAAGCUUUUGCGGUGUGGGAUGGGCCCGCGGCCUAUCAGCUUGUUGGUGGGGUGAUGGCCUACCAAGGCGACGACGGGUAGCCGGCCUGAGAGGGUGACCGGCCACACUGGGACUGAGAUACGGCCCAGACUCCUACGGGAGGCAGCAGUGGGGAAUAUUGCACAAUGGGCGCAAGCCUGAUGCAGCGACGCCGCGUGAGGGAUGACGGCCUUCGGGUUGUAAACCUCUUUCAGCACCGACGAAGCGCAAGUGACGGUAGGUGCAGAAGAAGGACCGGCCAACUACGUGCCAGCCGCCGCAGUAA
This 478-nucleotide ribosomal RNA is filed under the name uncultured bacterium. RNAcentral's name for it is "partial 16S ribosomal RNA". It matches the Rfam family "Bacterial small subunit ribosomal RNA", at positions 28 to 523 of the family's 1533-position model. The record is from RNAcentral.